Molecule: non-coding RNA, 6242 nt
Organism: Rattus norvegicus (Norway rat)
Lineage: Eukaryota; Metazoa; Chordata; Mammalia; Rodentia; Muridae
Source: RefSeq, a predicted model, not a curated record
GUUAGGGUUAGGGUUAGGGUUAGGGUUAGGGUUAGGGUUAGGGUUAGGGUUAGGGUUAGGGUUACUACUUAAUUCUUACUCCCUGCAAAGACACUGCAGGAUUUGGUGCUCUUACUGUUUGGCUGGAGGCGUCCAUGCUGGAUUAGAGGGCGAUUCCAUAGGCCCUCAUUUCCAUGUUUCUUUUGACAGUCCACAGGAUGCUGCUGAUGGAGUGGGGGAACCAAACCCAAACCAAAACUAAACCACCAUGAAGAGAAUCAAUUUGUGUGGUGGCAAUUGUUCUCACACUUGGGGUCAGGACCAUUCUUAUUAUCUUAUAUUUAAAACUCUUUUUAAAGAGUUUUUUUUCAUUCCGUGAAGGUUUUUUUUUUAAAUUUUUCAUUAUAUAUUUCUUUACUUACAUAGUUUAUUCCCCUUCCCAAUUUCCUGUCCAUAAGCCCCCAUUCCCUCCCCUCCCCUCCCCUCCCCCUCCCUCAUAGGGUAUUCCCCCUAUACAUCCCCCUUAUUGCUCUCCCCCACAUUCCCCUGCACUGGGGGUCCAACCUUGGCAAGACCAAGGGCUUCCCCUUCCACUGGUGACCCAUCAAGGCUAUUCUCUGCUACAUAUGCAGUUGGACCCCUGGGUCAGUCCAUGUAUAGUCUUUCAGUAGUGGUUUAGUCCCUGGAAGCUCUGGUGGGUUGGCAUUGUUGUUCUUAUGGGGUUGCAUAAAACUCUUCAACUCUUUCAAUACUUCCUCUAAUUCCCCCCAAGGGGGUCCUAUUCUCAGUUCGGUGGUUUGCUGUUAGCACUGGCCUCUGUAUUGGACGUGCUCUGGAUGUGUCUCUCAGGAGAGAUCUAUAUCUGGUCCCUUUUCACGUGCAUAUUUUAGCUUCAUCGAUCUUAUCUAGUUUUGGUGGCUGUAUAUGUAUGGGCCACAUGUGGGUCAAUUCUGUGAAGGUUUUAUCUGUACUUUUCAGCUUUGUCUGCAAUGGAAAGGCAUGUCUAGUCUUAAUUAGUCCCUUUCACUGGACUCCAUCACAUGAGUGGGCGGCACUGUUUUAGAUAAAUGAAGGGGACAAAAUCCUGGUAAUGCUACACUUUAGAAUAUAAAAGAUUACCAGAUAUAGAAGAUUUGGUCUACAAAAAAACCCAAAAAACAAACACCAAAACAACAGAACAACAACAACAACAGAACAUUUUACCACCAGGAGCCUGUGACAAUCCCUAGAAAGAUUUAUAUCAGUGUUUAGAUGUGAAUUUACUUGUUCUCUAAGAACUCAGAUUUGAACUCUCAACAUGUACUAUGCGGAUUCUGUGAUACUCUACAAAGUUUCUUAUUCACAAAAUACAACACUAGUUUGUUCUUUGCUAAUGAAACUUGAAUAAAGCAAAACAUCUGAAUGAAGAAAUCUCAGGAUAGUAUGUGCUUUUUUUAAGACAAGCAUUUACAGAAAGAACCGAGUACUAUUGGUUUCUGGUAUGUAAUUCCAGCUUUUUAGUAAUAGGCUAAUCAUGAUCUUAUCCUUGAUGUCAACCAUCUUGCUGGCUUAUUGGCCCUGCUUCAAACAUGGUUAGACUAAGAUCUUCACCAGGAUUAACACUUAGCUUCUAGGACUGUAGAGAGAUUGAGUGUCACACUUCUAAGUGCUUUUCUGAGUAGCUUGUAUGCGUGGAUGGGGUGGGAUGUUUAAAUGGAUGGCAUUUGUUCUACAUAUAUGAAUUUUGGAAAUUGUGGAGUUUUAUUUUUCUUUUCACUUCUUUUCCUUUCCUUUCCUUUCUUCUCUUCUUUUCCUUCCUGCCUUCCUUCCUUCCCUCUUAUUAAUUUUUGUCUAUGUUAAGUACAUUUUAGCCAUCUUCAGACACACCAGAAGAGGGCAUCAGAUCCCAUUAAAAAUGGUCGUGAGCCACCAUGUGGUUGCUGGGAAUUGAACUCAGGACCUCUGCAAGAGCAGUCAGUGCUCUUAACCGCUGAGCCAUCUCUCCGGCCCCUGCAGUUUCUUGUAUCUUCUAUGUAGUUUUAUGAUCUAAAAGCUGAUGACGAAAUAGGAAAAAGUAGAGUAUACAUCAUUCCUCUCUUAAAAUACAAGAUGAUUUCUUAUGAGGUUCUUCCUAUUACUGUUGAAUAUGCUCACCAACAGUGGAUAGUGUAGUUCGAAUUAUGAAAUAGCAGGUUUCUGUGUCACUAGAUAUUAACUCAUAAGCAGGCAACUGUGUCUUAGGAGAUUCAGUUCUGUUUCUUAUACAUAAAAUAAAAUAGUCAGGUAAUAACACAGUUUUACCCAAAUGUAGCUCUUUGGAUGGGCCAAGUCAUCAGAGGAAAGGUGAAAGAAAGUCAGUGAAGGGCAUGGUAGGGAUAGACCCAAGAAUGUCAAGAAGCCAGAGUGUCCUCACUCCAAACACUGUUUCUAAAGAGAGAGGCUGAAAAGCCUUUACAAACGAGAGGAAGACACCAGGAUUCUGGGUCAAAGAUAAGCAGAGACUCCAGACCAAACCAGAUAUCUAAACAGUUCUUUCUCAGAAUUCCAGUGUCUGCCCCUGAUUGAGUUUAUCGGAGCAAAUCCAUGUGGAUUCCUAUGACUUAUUUUAGGGGAUACAUUAGUAACAGAAAUAAUAGUAAAAAUACUCUUACCAUGCUGAGUAAAAUUUUAAUGGUGUAUCCACUUCUUAAUUUCUUAGGCUUUUGUUUUUUUUGUUUCGUUGGAGGCGGGGCCUUAAUUUAGUCAAGACCAAUCUGACCAAUCUGCCCGCCUUGCUGUAGUACAGACUGACUUUGGGUUCAUAGAAAUGCUGCUACCUCUGUUUCCCGAGUGCUGGGGUUAUGGUAGAGAGGCCCAUGCCAAGAGUAACUCUCCAUUGCUCUAAUUUAUUAAAAUCAUAUAAAACCUGUGUAAAUUCGGUAAUUGCUCUUGUGUCACUAAAGGUGAGACCGCUAAGUCUCAGGGAAUGUAAAGACUGCACAGUGAAGGAAAGGCAGACCUGGAGCUUGAGACCACUGUCUAUCUGUCUCUAGUCUUAUGCUUCCAAGUGUUUUGGUCUGGCCUGGGUUGACAUAGUGUAACUCACCCUCAGCUCCUUACCCUGCCUUUCAUUGGCACCAGCAUUGGGAAGACCAAUAGUUAGAGUUCAAACCAAAAAUGCUAAGUGAAUAGUUCAAUAAUUGGUGUUUGCCAAAGUGGUUUUUCUCUCCAGCCCCCUUUUAGACACAGCCCAACUACAGUGUUUUAAUUGCACAGCAUUUGAAUAUAAUUUCACUCUAUUUAUAAUUAAAACAAUCGAAUAAACCAGGAAGUAGAAGGCUAUUUGAAGAGCAACCAGUAGUCAUAAAUCUGUCAAGACCAAGUAAAGGAUGCAGCACACCAAAAAGACAAACCUUUAUGUUUUGCCAAAUAUUGAAACAUACAAAAAUCCCUAAUGCACGAACCAUGUAUCUUUAAGAAACAGUGAUGACAUGGGCUAUUUUGACAGUUCUUCAAAUACCCUUUUUUGGAGUUCUUUCUUUCUGUGACGAUCCUAAACCACGAACGACCCAUGCCUUGUCCCAAACACCAUUAGGUACCACAGAUAAUGUAGACUUCAGUAUUUAACUCAGGAAACAUUUGUUCUUAUGAGAAGUGAGAUUGGUUUCCUUGAUUUAGAAAUUAUAAACAAUUAUCCAAGUUCUGUGAGAUUUGGUAUUGUCCUGUGUGUAUUUUUUGUUGAAAUAAUACCUUUUCAACCAACUUUUUGGGAAGACACAGUGAAGUGACAAAUGGACUACUUUGGACACUAAAGAUAUUUGAGGAUAUCUACCUUUAAGAAAUAUUGUGAUAAAGUAGCUGAACUAUUUAGAUGCAAACGAAAUCAUGCAACACCCUUCCUUAGAUAUUUUUGUUACGCUAGUGUAUUGGUCUUGUGAUUGUGUAACAAGCUUUCUGUUCUUCUGGAGUGUUCACUGCUGAUAUUUACCCUCGUUAAAGACAAUCAGUUACUAUUUCCUCAUGACGCACCUCCUUAACUGAUCCCUGAGUUGCAGAUGCUAUGCUCCUAGGUUCUGACGUGGAAUCCGCAGAAGGAAAUCAGAUACAGUUGGUGAUGUGUGAUAAGACGGUGUUCACAGAGACAUUAAUAACAGAGCUGAGCUGUGGCAGAUGAACACAUACUUUCCAGGUGAAAAGACAGAGACAACGAAGUGGAACAGCUUGGCAUGCAUCUCUGCUGUAAAACCCCUCACGGCAUACAAGUGACUUCUAUUCAAUGUGGCAUGAAUGGCAAGUAAAUGAAGGCUUUCAGUGUAAUGAGUUUGAAAAGGCUAACGGGAGGUUCCUGGACCAGAGGCUCACAAGUUAAGGGGAUUGCAGCUUACCACUUGCCUAUCAAAAGUGUAUGACUAACAGCAGGAAGGAUGAGCAGAUUCGUGUAUCAGAAGAAUACGGGAUGGAGUAUGGGCAGAUGUGCCUUGGGGAAGAAGCUGUAAGGCACAGGGUACAACUUGGAAAAGAUCACUGUCUGUGAGCACGGUCAUGUGACCUUUACUUUGUACUAGACAAGGUGGCUGGGCGCUGCCCAGGUGGUCUGCAAGCAGAUUCAAGGCCCGAUAUCCAAGUGGGAGCUGAUGAAAGUGAGAAGGGCUAUCUAAAUGGUGGGCUGAUAUCUUUGAUAUUAUUCUGGGAGGAAUCAUGGGAACAUUGGAAUAGUGAUGAGGUCCUUCUAGUCUUUAAUUAGUUUAAUUCAUAGUCCUUGGGAGAUAUGCAGGUUUGAUGUCCAGUGGAGAUGUGAGUUUGGAACUCAGGAUAAAGGUCUUAGAGGUGUCAGCAAAAGCCCUCUCCAUGAGAUGGAACCCAUCGCUGACACUGCUUGGGUGACAAGAACAUGAGAUUAGUUGUGUCAGAGACCUAAGGUAAGACCAAAUACUGCUGUUCUGCUAUAGGAAAUUAGCAAUAAAAUGCCUUCUAAUGAUGUUCUGCUAUACUCAUAGACCAGCCCCUUGCUCAGACAUCAUCAAAAAAGUUUUUUUCUGCAGCAGAUGGAACAAAUACAGAGGCCCACAACUGGACAAUGUGCACACACAAUCAAGGUGUCGCUAUCAAAUCUCUCCCCUCAAAGCUCAGGAAACCCUGCUGAAGAGGAGGUGCUUAUUUGUUUUCUAAUAACACAGAGAAAGAAAGAGUCUGGAUUUCAGUGGGAGGACUUGGGAGGGAAACCAUAAUCAGAAUACAGUGUAUUAAAAAAAUUCAACAAAUACAAUAGAAAAAGAAGAACUAUCAGCAAUACAUUGGAUAAUAUGAUUCAGGACUGGUAUGAAGAGUAAUUGCCAAAUAAACUCCACAAAACCCAAACCGAACCAAACCAAACCAAACCUAAAACUCUCACUAAAGAUGAGGAAAGGAACCAGAACUGACAAAGAAGAGAUUUAAGAAGCUACCCAGAGAUUUAUCAUUAUGAGUGCCAAGAAGGUCAUUGGCUAUUUUCACAACUCUUAUCAGGCAUUCAAUCAAUUCUGGAAGAAAGACUAAAAAUACAUGGUUGCUGUGUAUGUUUGAUGUAUGUAGGGCUGCCUGCUUGUCUGCAUGGGUAUCAUGCGUGUGCAGUGCUCAUGGAGGCAAGAAGAGGAAAGUGGAUACCUUAGGACUGGAGUUGUGGGCAGUUGUGAGCCAUCACCUAAGAUUUGAGAACUGAACUGAGGCCCCUGCAAGAACAGCAAGUGCUUCUCAACUCCUAGCAACCUCUCCAUCCUGACUGUAUGCAUUUUGAGGGAGACACGUAUCUGGAAAUGCUUGGAGCUCAGGAGAAACCCCAGCUGUUUGGAUUCAGGAUGCUCUUCGGUUCUUCCCUUUGAACGCUGCCCACACUCUCUCUUGAUCAGUCACUAGUAUUUUGUGACAUUCACAAGACUCCUUGUUUGUGAGCACAUUUCUCUCUCAAAAAUCAUUUAAUUAUUUUAUACAUGAAGAAAAUUGUUCUUCAACAGGAAAAAUGAGACCAGGCAUGGAAUAGGAAAACUAGAAGAGAACUAUACUGUACUGGUUGACUGUGUGUGUCAACUUGACACAAGCUGGAUCAAGGGUGGGGGGGGGCCCACUGUAGGUGGUGCCAUUCCUGGAUUGGUAGUCCUGGGUUCUAUAAGAAAGCAAGCUGAGCAAGCCAGGGGAAGCAAGCCAGCAGCACCCUCCAUGGCCUCUGCAUCAGCUCCUGCUUCCUGACCUACCUGAGUUCCAGUUCUGAGUUCCUUUGGUGAUGAAUAGCAAUGUGGAAGUGUAAGCUGAAUAAACUCCUUUCCAACUUG